AGUGGCGGACGGGUGAGUAACGCGUGAGAAUCUGCCUUGGGGUCGGGGACAACCACUGGAAACGGUGGCUAAUACCGGAUACGCCUUCGGGUAAAAGAUUUAUUGCCCUAAGAGGAGCUCGCGUCUGAUUAGCUAGUUGGUGAGGUAAGAGCUCACCAAGGCAGCGAUCAGUAGCUGGUCUGAGAGGACGAUCAGCCACACUGGGACUGAGACACGGCCCAGACUCCUAUGGGAGGCAGCAGUGGGGAAUUUUCCGCAAUGGGCGAAAGCCUGACGGAGCAAGACCGCGUGAGGGAGGAAGGCUCUUGGGUUGUAAACCUCUUUUCUCAGGGAAGAAGCUCUGACGGUACCUGAGGAAUCAGCCUCGGCUAACUCCGUGCCAGCAGCCGCGGUAAUACGGAGGAGGCAAGCGUUAUCCGGAAUUAUUGGGCGUAAAGCGUCCGCAGGUGGCGAUUCAAGUCUGCUGUCAAAGCACGGGGCUUAACUCCGUAAAGGCAGUGGAAACUGAAUAGCUAGAGUGCCGUAGGGGUAGAGGGAAUUCCCGGUGUAGCGGUGAAAUGCGUAGAGAUCGGGAAGAACAUCGGUGGCGAAAGCGCUCUACUGGACGGCAACUGACACUCAGGGACGAAAGCUAGGGGAGCGAAUGGGAUUAGAUACCCC
This 660-nucleotide ribosomal RNA is filed under the name uncultured bacterium. RNAcentral describes it as "bacterial SSU rRNA". It matches the Rfam family "Bacterial small subunit ribosomal RNA", at positions 94 to 788 of the family's 1533-position model. The record is from RNAcentral.